AUAUAAGCAAAUUUUACUUUUUAGGUUCAUUCAAUUAAUGAUGUAUGUGGUCCAUAAUAUGAACCACAUACAUCAUUAAUUGAAUGAAUCUAAAAAGUGAAAUUUGCUUAUAU
This is a microRNA precursor of Medicago truncatula (barrel medic), 113 nucleotides long. It matches the Rfam family "MIR2593 microRNA precursor family". The record is from Rfam. NCBI's taxonomy places the organism in Eukaryota, Viridiplantae, Streptophyta, Magnoliopsida, Fabales, Fabaceae.